CUGGGCGCUGGCUUGUUUGGCUACAUAGAUCAAACCAUAGAGGAGCCUCCCAAAACAAUCACUAGCAAAGACAAAGAUGGUAAGGAGCAGGUAGUUCCCAAUCCUGCCCAUAAUCCCUGGUUAGUUCAAGAUCAGCAAAUCGUGGCAUAUCUCCUUCAUAAUCUGUCCAAGGAGGUGCUGGUUCAAGUGGCUUCGCUUGAAUCAUCUCAUGCGAUCUGGACGGCAUUAGCAAAUAUGUUCUCUGCAGUUUCCUUGUCUCGCGUGAACAACAUCAGAUCUGCCCUCACCAACACCCAAAAAGGAUCUCAAUCCGCCUCCACCUACUUCGGGCAGAUG
This 336-nucleotide ribosomal RNA is filed under the name Triticum aestivum (bread wheat). RNAcentral describes it as "partial small subunit ribosomal RNA". The record is from RNAcentral. Lineage: Eukaryota; Viridiplantae; Streptophyta; Magnoliopsida; Poales; Poaceae.